AGAGUUUGAUCCUGGCUCAGAACGAACGCUGGCGGCAGGCUUAACACAUGCAAGUCGAACGCACCCUUCGGGGUGAGUGGCAGACGGGUGAGUAACACGUGGGAACGUGCCCUUCAGUUCGGAAUAACCCAGGGAAACUUGGGCUAAUACCGGAUACGCCCCUUGGGGGAAAGAUUGAUCGCUGAAGGAUCGGCCCGCGUCUGAUUAGCUAGUUGGUGAGGUAAGAGCUCACCAAGGCGACGAUCAGUAGCUGGUCUGAGAGGAUGAUCAGCCACACUGGGACUGAGACACGGCCCAGACUCCUACGGGAGGCAGCAGUGGGGAAUAUUGGACAAUGGGCGCAAGCCUGAUCCAGCCAUGCCGCGUGAGUGAUGAAGGCCUUAGGGUUGUAAAGCUCUUUCGGCGGGGACGAUAAUGACGGUACCCGCAGAAGAAGCCCCGGCUAACUUCGUGCCAGCAGCCGCGGUAAUACGAAGGGGGCUAGCGUUGUUCGGAAUCACUGGGCGUAAAGGGCGCGUAGGCGGCUUUAUAAGUCGGGGGUGAAAGCCUGUGGCUCAACCACAGAAUUGCCUUCGAUACUGUAUGGCUUGAGACCGGAAGAGGUAAGUGGAACUGCGAGUGUAGAGGUGAAAUUCGUAGAUAUUCGCAAGAACACCAGUGGCGAAGGCGGCUUACUGGUCCGGUUCUGACGCUGAGGCGCGAAAGCGUGGGGAGCAAACAGGAUUAGAUACCCUAGUAGUCC
Molecule: ribosomal RNA, 742 nt
Filed under: uncultured bacterium
Lineage: Bacteria
Description: bacterial SSU rRNA
Rfam family: Bacterial small subunit ribosomal RNA
Source: RNAcentral